GGGGCUGUAGCUCAGUGGUAGAGCGCUUGUCUUGCAGGUGUGAGGCACUGGGUUUGAUCCUCAGCACCA
Molecule: transfer RNA, 69 nt
Filed under: Ictidomys tridecemlineatus (thirteen-lined ground squirrel)
Lineage: Eukaryota; Metazoa; Chordata; Mammalia; Rodentia; Sciuridae
Also listed under: 1 other name
Description: Spermophilus tridecemlineatus (thirteen-lined ground squirrel) tRNA
Rfam family: tRNA
About the family: Transfer RNA (tRNA) molecules are approximately 80 nucleotides in length. Their secondary structure includes four short double-helical elements and three loops (D, anti-codon, and T loops).
Source: Rfam by way of RNAcentral